Molecule: ribosomal RNA, 425 nt
Filed under: uncultured bacterium
Lineage: Bacteria
Description: bacterial SSU rRNA
Rfam family: Bacterial small subunit ribosomal RNA
Source: RNAcentral
GGACGAACGCUGGCGGCGUGCUUAACACAUGCAAGUCGAACGAUGAACCAGGGCUUGCCCUGGGGAUUAGUGGCGAACGGGUGAGUAACACGUGGGCAACCUGCCCCAGACACCGGGAUAACCAUCCGAAAGGAUGGCUAAUACCGGAUAUGACCACUUUGGGCAUCCAACGGUGGUGGAAAGGAUUCUGGUCUGGGAUGGGCCCGCGGCCUAUCAGCUAGUUGGUGGGGUAAUGGCCUACCAAGGCGACGACGGGUAGCCGGCCUGAGAGGGCGGACCGGCCACACUGGGACUGAGACACGGCCCCAGACUCCUACGGGAGGCAGCAGUGGGGAAUAUUGCGCAAUGGCGAAGCCUGACGCAGCGACGCCGCGUGAGGGACGAAGGUCUUCGGAUUGUAACCUCUUUCUAGCAGGGACGAAGCG